Molecule: ribosomal RNA, 483 nt
Filed under: uncultured bacterium
Lineage: Bacteria
Description: partial 16S ribosomal RNA
Rfam family: Bacterial small subunit ribosomal RNA
Source: RNAcentral
AUUGAACGCUGGCGGCAGGCCUAACACAUGCAAGUCGAGCGGAUGAAGGGAGCUUGCUCCUGGAUUCAGCGGCGGACGGGUGAGUAAUGCCUAGGAAUCUGCCUGGUAGUGGGGGAUAACGUCCGGAAACGGGCGCUAAUACCGCAUACGUCCUGAGGGAGAAAGUGGGGGAUCUUCGGACCUCACGCUAUCAGAUGAGCCUAGGUCGGAUUAGCUAGUUGGUGGGGAAAGGCCUACCAAGGCGACGAUCCGUAACUGGUCUGAGAGGAUGAUCAGUCACACUGGAACUGAGACACGGUCCAGACUCCUACGGGAGGCAGCAGUGGGGAAUAUUGGACAAUGGGCGAAAGCCUGAUCCAGCCAUGCCGCGUGUGUGAAGAAGGUCUUCGGAUUGUAAAGCACUUUAAGUUGGGAGGAAGGGCAGUAAGUUAACACCUUGCUGUUUUGACGUUACCAACAGAAUAAGCACCGGCUAACUUCGUG